Molecule: non-coding RNA, 72 nt
Organism: Eumeta japonica
Lineage: Eukaryota; Metazoa; Arthropoda; Insecta; Lepidoptera; Psychidae
Source: the annotation of a GenBank genome assembly
GCGAUAAUGGCUCAGUGGUUAAAAGCGUUGCCUUCAAAGCAGAAGGCUUCGGGUUCGAUCCCAAUAAUCACA